Long non-coding RNA from Lytechinus pictus (painted urchin), 8133 nucleotides. RefSeq lists it as uncharacterized. The transcript is spliced from 2 exons. The record is from RefSeq and is a predicted model, not a curated record. Lineage: Eukaryota; Metazoa; Echinodermata; Echinoidea; Temnopleuroida; Toxopneustidae.
AGGUACAUCGACAGGUUUCUAUCGACCUUUCGGAACGCUAAGAUAUACAGACAACAUUCAUGACAUUAAGAGACUUCAGGACCCGCAGACAAGCUUAAGUCUGAUGUUUGACGUUUGACAGAACACACUCAGACGAAAAGAGGAUGUUAGAUAUAAGAUGAGUGAAUAACCAUCAAGGGCAUAUUCUGUGGCUUAAAUGGCAGACAUGAUCUUAAAAUUAUAUAUAUAUAUAUAUAUAUGUAUGUAUUGGGUGUCCCACUCAUCAAGCUUUUGCUUUUAGGGGCAUCCUAAUCAUUUAAUCUAUACUGUACAUUCAAGUAUGAUUUUGGAUAUAUUUUGGUUUGUAAUUCGAUUUUUUAAAUGAUUGAAUAAAAUUAAUUGAAUUGAAUUGAAUUGGCAAAAGCCUAAUUCUGAAACAAGGGAUACAUCCAUCGACAAUAGGAGAAAACAAUAGGUAGAUCAUAUAAUGUACACAAUAAGCUUUCUAGAAGAUAAAAACCUAGAGGGUAUAUAUUACUCUUUUUUUGGUUGUUGUCCUCCGUGUAUUUUGUUUAAGGUUUAGGUUUAAUCGAUAAUUACGAUUUGGUAUUAAUGUAUAAUUCAAUAUUUCGUAAAGCGUAUAGAGAGUCUUGUGACUAUUAUGCGCUUUAUAAAUUUCAAAUAUUAUUAUCUCACACAGCCACAUACAGAUACGCACUUUGUUCAGAUUGCCCCCCCCCCCCCUCCCCCGCCUACUACACCCCCAGGGAUUUGUGUGUGGUUGGGUUAUUGUUUCCAUUCAUUAACACACUUUAUGCUAACUUCCAGUAACUUCUUUGUGAUUAAGCCAUUCGCUUAAACAUGCCCAUGAAGGACUUGGGUAAUGAAUCGGGAAGUUUGUUUAAUCCCAUUUCAUUUUCAUUGGUCUUUCUUUUGCCGUUUUGUGACUUUGGAUUCAGAAACCAUAUGAGAGGUUAUAGCCUCUCUUUGAUUGAACCAGUCAGCAAUAUCUGGCUUACCGUUCUAGACAAAGAGGCUAAUUUGCCUAAUUAGCCUGCCCGGACGUUCCACACACGUGUGAGCACUGCAGUGCGUGGGCGGAAGUGGUGACUUUUGUCAUUCAUGCUAAUCCUAGCGGGAAUGAUAACUGACGGCAUUUCCGGUCAUCGCUGGUUUUGCGCGCCCAAUUUUGUGUGUUGUCACCCACGUCCGCACAUGUGGAUGUCAUGUGACUUAUCCAGCCAAUCAGAGAUAUGUACCCUGCGAGAUACCGUGCAUACGGCAUUUCGACAGAGUAUAUAAGGCCUGCUUUGUACAAACUUUGCUCAUUCUCCUGAGGACGACAAGAACACACUUGUCGAAACGUCGAGAUACAUGGUGUACCGUGAAACCUACUACACUGAACCAGUCUCUUGAUCACUUUUGAUUAUUUGCAUGUGCUUACUAUUACGUAAAUUAAAGCUUGCCAAGCUCGUGGUCACUGUCAGGAAUUUCAUCCUGCGAAUCCUUCUACCACACUAAACACCUUCGAGUACUAGUGAAUUACCACUCUAAAAAGUCAUCACGGUUUCCAGUGACCAAUCUGCUGAUGAGCACUAGUGUCAUAAACACUGGUCCUUUUCAGGACCGGCCCUGAGUAUCUUCUCAUCCAUGGGCGGAAAUUCCAGGGGGACAGGGGGGACGCGUCCCCCUACCAAAAUAUUAGGGGGACACAAUGUCAAGUGUCCCCUUACUACUUUUGGUCUUUUAUGAUGGAGAAAAAUAAAUCAUUCAAAAUCGAAAUAAUACAUGUAUUUUGGAGUAAAUGACCUUACAUUUUGGUUGAAAAAAUAUUUUUGUUUGCUUGUCAAUAUUUUUUUUUGAAGGGGGGAUGGGUAAAAAUUACCUGAAAUUUUGGGUGACUUUUUUUUCGCUUAUCAAAGAUUUUAGCCUGUGGUCUCCCCUACCUUUGGGGACAGAUUUCCGCCCAUGGUCUCAUCUAACACUGAAUGUCUCACAGACACCAAGCAAGAUCUUCUGGCUGAACUGUGUGUAAAGAACAAAUUGUGACAUCCCUCUGCACUAGACACAUUGUGGGCCUACAUGUUUCCAUCUACGCAUCACUGGUAGUAGUAUGAUCCUCAUCGCAGAAAUACCACAUGAGUACGGUAGUGCGCUAUUUUCACGCAGCGGGCUGAUUGUUGGUAAAUAUGAACUACUUCAGGUUCAGACAUUAUUGAAGUUUGUAAGUUCUGUCUAUAAAGCUCCUAACCAAACAUUCUUCCUACCUCGAGACGCUAAAGGUGGCCGAGUAAAUGUGACUAUUAGGGAUUUCAGUCACAUCAUCAUCUGUGUAUAUAGAGAAAUAAAAGGAGAUGCAACUUGUGGAGAUGCCCUGAUCAGAUACAAAUAAAAUGUCGCUCAUUCAUAAUGCGGAACUUCCCUCCUCCUUCAACAGCUGCAGGUAGAGACGUGGUUACAACCCUGAUCUAGUUUUGUUUCAAACUGUGAGAUUAAGAUUGUGCGGGACCCUAACCAACGCACUCGAAAUCGACCGAAUUUAAAAAAAUCAUGGUUUCUUUUGAUCUUUUUUUCAAUUUCAAUUUUAUAUAUUUUCUUUUGAAUGUUAUAGUUUGCAAUACCAGCCAGCUUUCUUUGACAGUAGAUUGCACUCGACUAAGCACUCGAGCCAGAUCAAUGAAAUGGUACAGUUUUUUCAUCGUUCUGACCCGAGUGUUUGGUCGGGUGUGGUGGCUGUCACAGAUUGCUGACUCACAACAUGCUGCAAUUCCAAUCUCCGUCAUUUAAUCUUGACCGUUUUCUUGUUAUGUUUUUUUUUUAUUAAGGCUCAGAAAUGUCUGCUAUUUCACUUUUUUCCAAUUAACAAUGCAAACAAUAAACACCCCCCCCCCCUGAUUUUUGUAUUUUUUCGGUCAUUUUAUUCUCACUCUUUUUGUAGCAUAAUCCCCCUCCAUAAUGAUGUUUAUGUAAUGUGUAUGGACCUCAGGUGCAAUUUCCAAUCUUAUCCUUUUGUUCUUAUUCGAUUUUUGUGUUAAUUCGUAUUAUAUUCCUUUCAUGUAUUUCUCUAUUUUUUGUUAACUUUGUAUGUAUCAGUCGCCGGACUGCUUUUACAAUGUCUUUCAUAAUAAACCGAAUUGAACUGAAGAAGGAUGCAGCCCUUACUCCUCGCAAAGUCCCCUUCUGCAAACAUUUCAACCUGAAAAAAACGAAACUGGGAGCAGUUUGUCGUAGAUCUGGAUAAUAUAUUCAGGACCUCCCUGCACUCCCUGCUUAUUACCAUUAUUACGACACCUUUUGUAAAAAUGCUGAAAAAAUAUUCAAGGAAGAAUAUUCCGCGAGGAUGCCGUACAAGCAAAACUCCGGGCUUGACGGAUGACUCUUAGCUGUUGUACAAUGAAUAUGCCAGGCUCUUUGAGAAUGAUCCCUUUCGCGCCGAUACACUUGAAUGUGGGGGAAACUUGACUACUGCCAUCAUGGAUAGUAAAAAAAAAAAAAAAAGGCAAGAUUUCAUUGAAUCAACACAUAUGACUUACAGCAGCAGGAAAGCCUCGAAAACAAUUCGGAUCCUUGGAAACGACAAUACGAAGUCUCAACCUAGGCCCCAAGUUUCUGCCGACCAAGUGGCCCAUCAGUUGCUUGUGAACAGUUAAUGUAACCCUAUUCAUUGCCAGCAAUAUUCAACUUCCCUAAAGGUGGAGGAAGAGCCUCUCAAGAGUUAUCUGAAUUACCAAGACAUUUCAGUGUGAACGACAUCGACAUGAACUACGCUAUCAAAGCGGUGAAGAACAAGGCUGCUGGAUUGGAUGAUGUUCUCUGUAAGCAUAUCAAACAUUUUGGAUUUGUUUCACUCCAUUGGCUGUUUGACAGCGAUGAUCUGGUAGGCCCUACUCCUUACUAUGCUGCAUAUUAUCUCCUGGCAAAUCCAGAAUUAAAAAAAAACAACUCGGCGUUUCCACCUUAACAACAGAGAUGCAGACCGGCAAUUGAGGGUCAGUUGGUAUGAAAAAUUGUUGGAACACACUAGCAGGCCAAUCUACCUCGGCGUCACUCUAGACGUUUCCCUUACAUACAAAGAACUUGAUGCCAAGACAAAGGCUAAAGUUGGAGCAAGGAACAGCAUCAUGAAGAAGCUUGCUAACACAAAAUGGGGAAUAGAGGCCAAGACCACCAGUAUGACAGCUCUUGCUCUACGCUACUCGAAUGAGUAUACAGCCCCUGUUUGAUGUAGGUCAGCCCUGAAUGCUUCUUGCAGAGCAAUUACUGGCUGUCUACGACCAACAAGAUUAGAUGAUCUUUACCUACUGUAUGGUAUUGCCCAUUCACACAUCAGAAGAGAGGUGUCAGCUCAGGCCGAAAAAAGCAACAAGCAAGAAGCUAACCCCCAUUAUCCACUCUUUAACCACGAACCUGUCAAACAUAAAAGACUCUAAUCAAAACGUAGCUUCCUUCUAUCGACUGAAUCUUUUGAUGCCUCUGCUCACAAUCAAAGAGCCACUCUAUGGUCUAACGAAUCCUGUCUGUGACACACAAACUGUCCUAUGGACCACUCCCCAAGGUCUGAAUGAGGAAUGGCCAAUCUUGCUAUGUCUUAAUCUCCUACGGUCUGGAACACUACGGUCACUAGCAUACCUACGGGGGGGGCAGUCUGCCCCCUGACGAGUCCCAACCCAUGCAAAGGACGUAUCCGCGGACGGUCUUGCCCCCCCCCCCCCCCCCCCCUGUGGAAAAUCCUAGGUACGCUACUGACUACGGUGCAAAUUCCUAAUGCAGAAAUCGGGCCACAGCAGGGAUGGAGAAACGGCCUGCCCCGUGCUAAAUAUUUAGCACCCCGUGCUAAAUAUUUAGCCCGAUGGGCUAAGUUAGCCGGGGGUGCUAACUAGCCCACGCUUUGAGAAAUGCUCGGUGGGCUAAAUUAGCCCACGGGGGAUAGUUAGCCCAGUGGGCUAAGUUAGCACGGGCUAAGUUAGCCACCCUUUGAGAAUUCGGGCCAUAGAGGAUAAUGUGUAUCUUCUAAGUUUAUCUAUUAAUCUUGUAUUUUGUCUAACUGGAUAUUCAGCAGAGUCAGCCAAUCUUUUCCCCCUUUUUUCUGGUGUUCUUUUAUACCUCUGUCACGUCGUAUUACCCUUACUGCUAUAGGGAAUAUUGGAUGGCCUUGGAUGGGAUGCAUAAAAAUAUUUUACGAGCUGGGGAACCAUAUUGGAUGAGUCGGAGACGAAUCCAAUACUAGCGCGUUUUCGCCCAGCGUCGUACGACGUAGAACGUAAGGGUCGUGUGCAAAAAUCGCCAACUUCCAUGGAAACAGAGGCCCGAGCGUUCUUGAGCUCAAAUCACGGACGGUUCUUCCGCAAAUUAGCGGGCGUCCGCAUUAGAACGUAGGAUUUGUCAACAGCCGUCAACAGCCAAUCAGAUCGCUUGUAGAGCGAGCAAGCUGAGCCGACAGCCAGUUCAUAGAGCGCGGGCGCGGGAUUUUCCCUAGUAGUGGUGACGUCAUGCAGUCUACGUACUUCCGGUCGAUCCGGCCGCGUUCAGCGAUUUGCGAAACUGCUUACAAGCGAGAGUUGAGCGCGACGGACGCACGAACCAAGAGAUCGUUCUACGUCGUAGAUAGCGUCGUACGACGCUGGGCGAAAACGCGCUAUUGUUCUUCAGCGAGUGACAAUCAUUUCUACGCAUCCCACGAAAAUUGGUCAUCGAACUAUUAUUAUUAUUAUUAUUAUUGUUUAGAUACCCCCACAAAGCUAAACAUGAAUUAAUGACGCAAAAAAAAUGUUUUUACUCAUUUUAUGUCAAUCCUGUAAAUCAUGAGCAUGGCGACUGAGUAUUGUCAUUUAAAAAAUAUCUCUGAAAAGAUGCGCUAGCGUAUAGUGCAAGCGCAUUUGAAUUCUAUAAAUAUGCGCAAUGCAUUUCAUUGUGACGUAACAAUUGCUUCAUGCGCACAAUCAUUCAUUAUAACCAAUUUUAAUCUUGUGGGCGGGCAAAAUAUUAAUUUCAUCCAAUAUUUAAGCAAUAUUGACUGGCCUCGGGGCGAUACGACAUAUAUCGCCCAAACUAGAUUUGUAUCGGCUGAGUCGUAGACGAGGGUGAUAUCAAUAUAGUGAGGGCGAUAUAUGUCCUUUCGCCCCCAGGGCAAUCAAUAUUGCUAUUAAUAACCAAAUCAGACAUCUAGAGCAAAGAGCGUUCAAAUUUAGAUAUUUUAAAGUUUAAGAAUGAGAAUCUAGUUUGUCAUGUUGAGAAGACUGGGCCUUUGAACUUUACCAUUGUGACGUAAUUGAAAUGACGCGUCCCUGGCCUAGGGACGCAGUAUCCAACGUUAUAAAAUAGGUGUAUUAUUUCAAGCAUCGCGAUUGGCCAAUACGCGUCACAAUUACGCGUCCAAUACACACGAAAAUUGACAUUGCACGCUCAAGCAAACCAGUGCGGUAGAAGUCCAACAAAACUGUACUGUAACUUUUUUUUAAAUUUGUUUCUGUGUUGCUAUUUUAUAAAACAAAUAAUGAACUUGCUCUGUCGUGCGUAAAAGUAAAUGCAGAGAAAGCUCGGUUUCUUCAGAUGGAGCACACUGGGCACUCGCCGCUAGCGGUUUUCAUAGGCAUACACGUAAAAAUCAGUUUUAAUAUUUUUGUCUGUUUGAAACAACCUCACUGACGUCAAAAAAUAUUUGCGCCUCUAAAACCCUACAUCUAAAUAAUAUUUUUGUCAUCUUCUUCCUUUCUUUUAUUACAUGUCAACUAAACUUGUUUAUGUGCCCAUUACGCGUACAUGUAUAUAUAGGGCAAUUAUUUUUGUUCGUUUCGAAUGGAUUUUUACUGUAAUACUAGUAAGUAUUGUAUCAAUUAUUUUUUUCACAGGUUGCAAAAACUAUAUUGCAGUAUGAUAUCAUUUAAGGUAAUAUUAAUGAAUUGUAUAUAGUGUGACAUGGGUAGUAUGUGGAAUAAUGUUUUUCAUUUUGUGAAGUACACCAUCGUCUCUCAAGAUACUAGUAGUAUGUGUUCAUUCCACUUUAAAUUUGCAUCUAUUGUAACGCAUAUAUAAAUUUGGUGUGUUUUUUUUCAGAGGAAUAUUGUCAAUGGUUACAUUGUAAGGAAAUUCAGCAAUGUGUGAAUUUGUAUGUUUGAAUAAAGUUUGUUUUAUCGAUAUCAACUGAAAGCUUGUUACACUUAAGCCACAAAGAUAGUUUUGGCAAUUUACGAUAAAUUGUAUCUACUAAAGUUUCAAAACGUUUAUGUGACCAAAAAAUGUUUGUGUCAUCUGCGAAUAUUACAAAUGAUAACAAAUGCGUUACAUUAGUCAAUCAGUACUAUAUAUUUUUUUAAAGCAAGGGGUCCGAGAUCGAUCCUUGUGGAACGCUGCAUUUUAUUGAUUAAAGGUUAGAAGAAAUAUUUUUGUGAAUUAUAUUUUUUCUUUCUGACAAAUAACUCUCAAUCCAUGAUAAUGCAAUUACUAUAUCUCCAUAAUUUUAAAGUUUUUUUUAUAAAAUUUGGUGAUCGAGGGUAUCAGAUGCUUUGCUUAGGUCUGGUACUCCUUUUAUGUUCUUUGUUUGUCAUUGCAUUUGUAAUUUUAUCGUAUUAUGUACUAAAGCUUGGUCCGUCGAAUGUCCUUUCCUGAAGGAAAAGCAUCAAGGAACGUGUAAAAUCUGUUGUAAAUAUUUUCUUUCUAAUAUUUUGGAUAUGCUGGUAGGAAUCAAUAUGUGAUUGCAUUUUACCUUUGAAUAUUUUUAGGGAAUUAAGACGUCUGUCGGUGCAGAUCGAUAUAAUCGAAUCAUGAUGCAAUACAUAUUUGUAUAGGAAUGAAAGUGUUUAUUCUAUAUUGAGAUUUGCUUGAUAUGAGAUGUUUUGUUAUUUCAAUUAUUUCCUGAACAUUUGUGGGUUUAAAGAAUAGCGAAUCAUUAGUGGUGUGGGAAGAAAUCUUGCAAAAUUUUGAUUUGGUCUGUAAAGUUGGUUUGCCAAUGAGGGUCCUAUUUAAAAAAAAAAUGAUUUGAAUGUAUCAGCUACAUCUUCUGAAUUUAUUGCGGCAUCAAGAACUGUGAAAUUAUCUUUGGUUAAUGUUUGGAUUACCAGUGUCAAAUCAAAUCAUUAAUGAUCUUCCAUGAGGUUUUCAUAUUUGAUUAAAUCUAUCAAGUUUCUCCAAAUAAAAAGAUUUGCGAGCAGCUCGAAA